CGCCUUUAUGACGUCAUUUACCAGAUAGAGGGGGUCGCCUGUAUCCCUGCACUAUUUACGUUCAUCAAGCGUCUUAGUGAUCGUCUUUGUGCAGGAUAAACUAGAAAUAAUGGUUGCUCUGUAGGUACUUACUGACAAUUCCCUAAUGACAGCAGUGUUGAUUGUCAAUUUUGAGAAUUCAAUUUGCCGAAUAAUUCGUACAAUAUAGAAUUAUAGUUUUCCAACCACUCGCUCAACAUUGGAAGGAAGUGACGACGCCCCUAAACGCACAAAUGACGGUGAUAAAGGCGCGUAUAAUUGACGAGUUUUUUCCGGUGACGGAUGAACUCGAAAG
Molecule: long non-coding RNA, 334 nt
Filed under: Mytilus galloprovincialis (Mediterranean mussel)
Lineage: Eukaryota; Metazoa; Mollusca; Bivalvia; Mytilida; Mytilidae
Source: RNAcentral